RNAcentral lists this ribosomal RNA (500 nucleotides) under uncultured Glomeromycotina. Its description in RNAcentral is "partial small subunit ribosomal RNA". It matches the Rfam family "Eukaryotic small subunit ribosomal RNA", at positions 591 to 1092 of the family's 1831-position model. Lineage: Eukaryota; Fungi; Glomeromycota. The record is from RNAcentral.
CCAAUAGCGUAUAUUAAAGUUGUUGCAGUUAAAAAGCUCGUAGUUGAACCUUAGGCCCGUGCGGGUGGUCCGUCCUCAGGGCGAGCACUGCUCCGUCGCGGGUCUCACCUUCUGGCGAGCGUGGAUGCCAUUUAUUUGGUGUCCGCGGGAACCAGGACCUUUACCUUGAAAAAAUUAGAGUGCUCAAAGCGGGCUCCGACGCUUGAAUACAUUAGCAGGGAAUAAUGAAAUAGGACGAUGGUUCUAUUUUGUUGGUUUCUGGGACCGUCGUAAUGAUUAAUAGGGAUAGUUGGGGGCAUUCGUAUUCAAUUGUCAGAGGUGAAAUUCUUGGAUUUAUUGAAGACGAACUACUGCGAAAGCAUUUGCCAAGGAUGUUUUCAUUAAUCAAGAACGAAAGUUGAGGGAUCGAAGACGAUCAGAUACCGUCGUAGUCUCAACCAUAAACUAUGCCGACUGGGAAUCGGGCGAUGUUACUUUUCUGACUCGCUCGGCGCCCCGAG